UCUUCAAGGACUUGAGAGCAUUAGGCCUGGAGAGAAGCGACAGGAAAUGUCCUCAGAGCUUAAAGAACAUUCCAGAUUUUAAGCAUUAAUCUAGAAACUCGCCAUCUGCACCCUUGCUUGUACCCUUCUGAUCAUCUUUUUAAAUUUUUAAAUGUAUGAGGUAGGACUUGAACCACAGCGUCCCUGGAGGUCUCUUCAAGCCCCGUCACCUGCCAUUCGGUGUCAUUACGGGAGUGACGCAGGAUUUCUUCGAAACAUUCCAAUGAAGAAAUUUUUGGCUGCUGCUCGUGGUCCUCCCCGCUCUGGUGCAGAGGAGCGACUUUGGGGGUGUAUCCUCGCAUGUGCCUAUGGGCAGAGAAAACCAGGUUCUGGCCCCCGAGAGGCCCUGUUCUCAGAAACUGUUUCGUGCUUACUGAAUGAAGAGUGGGGACGCCGAGAUUUCUGUGAAUGACCGUGCACUUUUUUGUCUCCACGCUGAAGACCUUCCUUUGAUCAUCUUGCUGAACUGAAAAGGAGCCUGAGGGUAACCACCAGUGGACAUCUCUCACUCUGUACCCCAGUCAGUCUCUGUACCUUCUGUGGAAAUCUUAGCUCAGUGGUGGCAAACCUAUGGCUUGUGUACCCCAGCAGGCUGUUAUCACUGAAAGCUCUAAAAGGUUCCCUAUCCCUGUCCUAGCUGCACCCUUAGAUCAAAUACACAGGAGGAGGGGAUGCUUAGGAUCUGAGCACACAGGGAAGUAGGAAUCACCCAGUGGCCAGUCUUUGGGAGCUUACAGAGAGCAACUGCAGCACCUUCUCUAGUGCAAAAGAAUUUGUCCACUCUGGUGACCUGUGAUUACCAUUAGUAGAGAUUUUUCAUCAUAAAAGUGGUCAUUGUGCACAUUUCCAAAAAGGAAAGAAUGAAAAAAAAGUGAAAGUCAUUUGUAACCUUCAGGGGAAAAGCCCUAUUGUUCAUAUUUUGGGAAAACAUGUUGAGAAUUUUCCCAGAAUUCAGAUAAUACAAAUAUGUAACUUACUUUUUGGAGGGGUGGGGAGUAAUCUGCUUUAAAAAUAAUCAUAAAAAGUUUAGUGUAAAAAGUUGUUAUAAACAUUCAUAAUAGCUGCAUAAUAGUCAUACAUGGGUCAUUGUAAAAUUUCUGCACAUUUCCUGUUACAUAUUUAGGUGUUUCUAAUUUUUCUUAUCAAAAUCUGUAAGCCCUCAUCUUUAUGCAUAAAGGUUUUCUUCUUUUGGAUUAUUUCCUCAUAAUCGUUUCUCACAUGUGGAGCUGCACAUAUUUCAAAAGAAAAGAUGCACAGCUGCAGGGAAUGUUGAUGAAUAUAACUUGGGGAAGACCAUGUGGCUGCUGGCCAAAUUCUGCCAGAUUGGGAUUAAGAUCAAUUGGAUAAACAACUGUAUGGAUGAUUAUGGAAGGCUUCUAUGAUCUAAUCCUCUGAACUUGUGAAUCGGUUACCUUGCAAGGCAAAAGGGAUCUGGCAGAUAUGACUUCAUUAAAGAUUUUGAUCUGAGAGGUUACCUAGGGUUAUCCAGCUGAGCACAGUGUGAUCUCCGAGGUCCUUGUGAGAGAGAGGAAAAGAGAGCUGAUAGAAAGGAAUGUGAAGCAAAAGCAGAGAAGGAGAUUUGAAGAUGCUUUUGAAGAUGAUUUUGAAGGUGGAGGAUGAGCUCACAAGCCUAGGAAUGUGGGCAGCCUCUGGAAGCUUGAAAAUGUAAGGAAAUGGAUUUUUCCUUAAAGCCUCAAAACCAAAACAAAACAAACAAGAAAAACCCAUCAGCUCUGCCAACAUGUUGACUUUAGCUUGGCAAGACUGACUUUGGACUUCUGACCUCUAAAACUGUAAAAUAAUAAAUUUGUGUUAUUU
This 1857-nucleotide long non-coding RNA is filed under the name Chinchilla lanigera (long-tailed chinchilla). RNAcentral's name for it is "lncRNA (ENSCLAG00000022622.1)". The record is from RNAcentral. Lineage: Eukaryota; Metazoa; Chordata; Mammalia; Rodentia; Chinchillidae.